CCUACGGGGGGCAGCAGUGGGGAAUAUUGCGCAAUGGGCGAAAGCCUGACGCAGCGACGCCGCGUGAGGGAUGAAGGUCUUCGGAUCGUAAACCUCUGUCAGCAGGGAAGAACGGUCACUGUGCUAAUCAGCAGUGAAUUGACGGUACCUGCAAAGGAAGCACCGGCUAACUCCGUGCCAGCAGCCGCGGUAAUACGGAGGGUGCGAGCGUUAAUCGGAAUUACUGGGCGUAAAGCGCUCGUAGGCGGUAUGUCAAGUCAAGUGUGAAAGCCCUGCGCUCAACGUGGGAACUGCCUUUGAAACUGGCAAACUGGAGUGUGUGAGAGGAUAGUGGAAUUCCAGGUGUAGGAGUGAAAUCCGUAGAUAUCUGGAGGAACAUCAGUGGCGAAGGCGACUAUCUGGCACAUAACUGACGCUGAGGAGCGAAAGCGUGGGUAGCAAACAGGAUUAGAUACCCUAGUAGUC
Molecule: ribosomal RNA, 465 nt
Filed under: uncultured bacterium
Lineage: Bacteria
Description: partial 16S ribosomal RNA
Rfam family: Bacterial small subunit ribosomal RNA
Source: RNAcentral